Molecule: long non-coding RNA, 300 nt
Organism: Acomys russatus (golden spiny mouse)
Lineage: Eukaryota; Metazoa; Chordata; Mammalia; Rodentia; Muridae
Exons: 2
Source: RefSeq, a predicted model, not a curated record
UACAGAUUAACUUUAGCCUUGUGGUAAUGAAACAAGACUAUGAGAUAAAUUCAUAUAUGAAGAGUAAGUCAUUUUUACUUGAUCUACAUAAUCAAGGGAGAAUUUUAACAACUUGUAGAAGUAUAAGCUAAAACACAAAUAAAAUCAUUUUGUUAGUGGUUUGCUAGGAAUACUGAACAGAAUCAUCCCAUUCUCUCUGAGAAAUUAAGACACCAACCAGCAAGAAACUGGGAAUGUAGCUCAGUGACAGAAUACCUAUCAAGGAGACACAAGGCCCUAAGUCCAACACACACACACACA